Molecule: transfer-messenger RNA, 371 nt
Filed under: Frankiaceae bacterium
Lineage: Bacteria; Bacillati; Actinomycetota; Actinomycetes; Frankiales; Frankiaceae
Rfam family: transfer-messenger RNA
About the family: Bacterial tmRNA, also known as 10Sa RNA or SsrA, is named for its dual tRNA and mRNA-like properties. Its role is to liberate the mRNA from a stalled ribosome.
Source: RNAcentral
GGGGAUGACAGGUCUCGACUCCGGAUGUCGAGGCAGGGGAAGCGGGUCGAGGAAGGCGACGAUGAUCUCGUUAACCACGAAACGUCGCAAAAAAAACAAGCGCCGAUUCCAAUCGCGCCGCUUACGUGCUCGCUGCCUAGCAGUUAGCACGUAGCUGUCAGCCCGGGAGUGCCUCCGGCCCGGGACCUGGCAUCGACAGGAGGAUCACCGUUCGACCCGGUCACGGGGUCGGACGGAACAACCAACAGUGACUGAGCCCGGCACCGUCUCGCUCGCGUGAACGGUGGGGCCGAGAAAACCACAGCGAGCUGCACCCGGAGAAGCCCUGCAUUGCCACCGGAGGACCCGGGUUCGAUUCCCGGCAUCUCCAA